ACGGCAUCAGCAACAAUGGACAAGAACUAAAAGAAUAGUAAGAUAUGGGAUGUAAAGCUUAUUAGACGGUACAAUGUCAUCUCCUGGUCUCAAUAUGUAUUCAGGAUAGCCAGGUAGGGUGAAGUCCAAGCAAAGAUCUUCAAUACGGGAUCCACGUAAACAUAAAUCAGAAAUCACGCUACUGUUGUCACCACCUUCUGCUUCCAGAUAGUGCUUACGGCCAACAAGAACACGAAGCUCUUGCAAAGUCUUGCCAAGUUCAGCAUCAAAUAAUAUAACAUCAUGCAAAUCAAGCUCCUGUUCAGGUGAGAAAAGAAAAAGAAAUUACGAACAACGUAAAGAAGUGUCGAAACUACUAGUCCACUCUUAGCUAAAUAAAAAAAGUUACUGAUAGUAAAAAAACUCACUUGACCAAGAAUGAGCUUAUAAAAAGCUGUACUUCAGGAAAAGUAAGAGACAAAGCGGAGAGUCUGUGAAACUGCUAACCUGAUUGAAUCCAGAUCUGAAGGCUUCAAUCUGCCGGGCAACUCCUCUCUUGACAGUGGCAUCAACGACCAGGGAUAUAUAGUCCUCAAGACUAUUAAUAUCAACCUGUAAUAGAACAGAAAACAGUACACGGCAUCAGCAACGAUGGGCAAGAACUAAAAGAAUAGUAAGAUAUGGGAUGUAAAGCUUAUUAGACGGUACAAUGUCAUCUCCUGGUCUCAAUAUGUAUUCAGGAUAGCCAGGUAGGGUGAAGUCCAAGCAAAGAUCUUCAAUACGGGAUCCACGUAAACAUAAAUCAGAAAUCACGCUACUGUUGUCACCACCUUCUGCUUCCAGAUAGUGCUUACGGCCAACAAGAACACG
Molecule: long non-coding RNA, 849 nt
Filed under: Brassica napus (rape)
Lineage: Eukaryota; Viridiplantae; Streptophyta; Magnoliopsida; Brassicales; Brassicaceae
Description: long non-coding RNA (BNAP_LNC014473)
Source: RNAcentral